GCCUGGAUAGCUCAGCUGGUUAGAGCGUGGUGCUGAUAAGGUUGCAGGUUCAAUUCCCGUAUGGGACA
Podarcis lilfordi (Lilford's wall lizard) is the source of this 68-nucleotide non-coding RNA. The record is from the annotation of a GenBank genome assembly. Lineage: Eukaryota; Metazoa; Chordata; Lepidosauria; Squamata; Lacertidae.